GAUGAACGCUAGCGGCAGGCCUAAUACAUGCAAGUCGAACGGGGCAGCAAUGCUUUAGUGGCGCACGGGUGCGUAACGCGUAUACAACCUACCUCUAUCUGGGGGAUAGCCCGGAGAAAUUCGGAUUAACACCGCAUAAGAAGGUAGCCUCGCAUGGGGCAGCCUUUAGAAUUUUAUGGAUAGAGAUGGGUAUGCGUCUGAUUAGUUAGUUGGCGGGGUAACGCCACCAAGACGAUGAUCAGUAGGGGUUCUGAGAGGAUGAUCAGCCACACUGGGACUGAGACACGGCCCAGACUCCUACGGGAGCAGCAGUGGGAAUAUUGGACAAUGGGCGAAAGCCUGAUCCAGCAAUGCCGCGUGAGUGAUGAA
RNAcentral lists this ribosomal RNA (369 nucleotides) under uncultured bacterium. RNAcentral describes it as "bacterial SSU rRNA". It matches the Rfam family "Bacterial small subunit ribosomal RNA", at positions 28 to 412 of the family's 1533-position model. The record is from RNAcentral.